CCUCGGGUGGCAGCAGUGGGGAAUCUUGGACAAUGGGCGCAAGCCUGAUCCAGCCAUGCCGCGUGAGUGAAGAAGGCCUUAGGGUCGUAAAGCUCUUUCGCCAGAGAUGAUAAUGACAGUAUCUGGUAAAGAAACCCUGGCUAACUCCGUGCCAGCAGCCGCGGUAAUACGGAGGGGGUUAGCGUUGUUCGGAAUUACUGGGCGUAAAGCGCGCGUAGGCGGAUUAGUCAGUCAGAGGUGAAAUCCCAGGGCUCAACCCUGGAACUGCCUUUGAUACUGCUAGUCUUGAGUUCGAGAGAGGUGAGUGGAAUUCCGAGUGUAGAGGUGAAAUUCGUAGAUAUUCGGAGGAACACCAGUGGCGAAGGCGGCUCACUGGCUCGAUACUGACGCUGAGGUGCGAAAGUGUGGGGAGCAAACAGGAUUAGAUACCCUUGUAGUC
Molecule: ribosomal RNA, 439 nt
Filed under: uncultured bacterium
Lineage: Bacteria
Description: partial 16S ribosomal RNA
Rfam family: Bacterial small subunit ribosomal RNA
Source: RNAcentral